This 497-nucleotide ribosomal RNA is filed under the name uncultured bacterium. RNAcentral describes it as "partial 16S ribosomal RNA". It matches the Rfam family "Bacterial small subunit ribosomal RNA", at positions 28 to 507 of the family's 1533-position model. The record is from RNAcentral.
GAUGAACGCUGGCGGCGUGCCUAAUACAUGCAAGUCGAGCGAACGGACGAGAAGCUUGCGUCUCUGAUGUUAGCGGCGGACGGGUGAGUAACACGUGGAUAACCUACCUAUAAGACUGGGAUAACUUCGGGAAACCGGAGCUAAUACCGGAUAAUAUUUUGAACCGCAGGGUUCAAAAGUGAAAGACGGUCUUGCUGUCACUUAUAGAUGGAUCCGCGCUGCAUUAGCUAGUUGGUAAGGUAACGGCUUACCAAGGCAACGAUGCAUAGCCGACCUGAGAGGGUGAUCGCCCACACUGGAACGUAGACACGGUCCAGACUCCUGCGGGAGGCAGCAGUAGGGAAUCUUCCGCAAUGGGCGAAAGCCUGACGGAGCAACGCCGCGUGAGUGAUGAAGGUCUUCGGAUCGUAAAACUCUGUUAUUAGGGAAGAACAUAUGUGUAAGUAACUGUGCACAUCUUGACGGUACCUGAUCAGAAAGCCACGGCUAACUACGUG